This 334-nucleotide unclassified non-coding RNA is filed under the name soil metagenome. RNAcentral describes it as "partial contains 5.8S ribosomal RNA, internal transcribed spacer 2, and large subunit ribosomal RNA". The stretch from base 1 to 120 matches the Rfam family "5.8S ribosomal RNA", at positions 35 to 154 of the family's 154-position model. The record is from RNAcentral.
GAUGAAGAACGUAGCGAAAUGCGAUAAGUAAUGUGAAUUGCAGAAUUCAGUGAAUCAUCGAAUCUUUGAACGCACAUUGCGCCCGCCAGUAUUCUGGCGGGCAUGCCUGUUCGAGCGUCAUUUCAACCAUCAAGCCCCCGGGCUUGUGUUGGGGACCUGCGGCUGCCGCAGGCCCUGAAAACCAGUGGCGGGCUCGCUAGUCACUCCGAGCGUAGUAGUUCAUCUCGCUCAGGGCGUGCUGCGGGUUCCGGCCGUUAAAAGCCUUUUACCCCAAGGUUGACCUCGGAUCAGGUAGGAAGACCCGCUGAACUUAAGCAUAUCAAUAAGCGGAGGA